UACGUAUUCUUUUGGCCAAAUAUCCUCUCAUGCGUCAUUCCCGAGGUUUUCACGCUUGUGCCGUUCUUCGACACAGAUAGAGGUAUGGCUUGCCGAAGUCGGACUUUACGAUCGACUUCAAACCGAUCACUUUGGAAGCCCCUUGGAAGAAGUUUCUGGUUAUUAUCCAUGAUUUUAACCUUCUAUCCUAUUGCUUCCAAGUUGUGUUAUCGUUGUAACUGCAAGUUAAUCAAUUAUAAGUUUGGUGCACACAAAAAAAAAUAUAAAAUAAAAUAACCCAAACCCUUUGACCAAACAAAUAGUCAAUUAAUAAAUAUCUCAAACCCUUUGACCAAACAAAUAAAACUAUAAAUGGAAAGUAUUUAUUUCUCUAUUGA
This 377-nucleotide long non-coding RNA is filed under the name Capsella rubella. RNAcentral's name for it is "long non-coding RNA (CRUB_LNC000923)". Lineage: Eukaryota; Viridiplantae; Streptophyta; Magnoliopsida; Brassicales; Brassicaceae. The record is from RNAcentral.